CCCUUAGAGUUUGAUCCUGGCUCAGGAUGAACGCUAGCUACAGGCUUAACACAUGCAAGUCGAGGGGAAACGACAUCGAAAGCUUGCUUUUGAUGGGCGUCGACCGGCGCACGGGUGAGUAACGCGUAUCCAACCUGCCCACCACUUGGGGAUAACCUUGCGAAAGUAAGACUAAUACCCAAUGAUAUCUCUAGAAGACAUCUGAAAGAGAUUAAAGAUUUAUCGGUGAUGGAUGGGGAUGCGUCUGAUUAGCUUGUUGGCGGGGUAACGGCCCACCAAGGCGACGAUCAGUAGGGGUUCUGAGAGGAGGGUCCCCCACAUUGGAACUGAGACACGGUCCAAACUCCUACGGGAGGCAGCAGUGAGGAAUAUUGGUCAAUGGACGAGAGUCUGAACCAGCCAAGUAGCGUGCAGGAUGACGGCCCUAUGGGUUGUAAACUGCUUUUAUAAGGGAAUAAAGUGAGUCUCGUGAGACUUUUUGCAUGUACCUUAUGAAUAAGGACCGGCUAAUUCCGUGCCAGCAGCCGCGGUAAUACGGAAGGUCCGGGCGUUAUCCGGAUUUAUUGGGUUUAAAGGGAGCGUAGGCCGGAGAUUAAGCGUGUUGUGAAAUGUAGACGCUCAACGUCUGCACUGCAGCGCGAACUGGUUUCCUUGAGUACGCACAAAGUGGGCGGAAUUCGUGGUGUAGCGGUGAAAUGCUUAGAUAUCACGAAGAACUCCGAUUGCGAAGGCAGCUCACUGGAGCGCAACUGACGCUGAAGCUCGAAAGUGCGGGUAUCGAACAGGAUUAGAUACCCUGGUAGUCCGCACGGUAAACGAUGGAUGCCCGCUGUUGGUCUGAAUAGGUCAGCGGCCAAGCGAAAGCAUUAAGCAUCCCACCUGGGGAGUACGCCGGCAACGGUGAAACUCAAAGGAAUUGACGG
Molecule: ribosomal RNA, 923 nt
Filed under: uncultured bacterium
Lineage: Bacteria
Description: bacterial SSU rRNA
Rfam family: Bacterial small subunit ribosomal RNA
Source: RNAcentral